UGGAAUGUGGCUCAGUGGUAGAGUGCUUGCCUAGCAUGCAAGAAGCCCUAGGUUUGAUUCCUCAGUACCAC
Molecule: non-coding RNA, 71 nt
Organism: Dipodomys ordii (Ord's kangaroo rat)
Lineage: Eukaryota; Metazoa; Chordata; Mammalia; Rodentia; Heteromyidae
Source: Rfam